Molecule: ribosomal RNA, 456 nt
Filed under: uncultured eukaryote
Lineage: Eukaryota
Description: bacterial LSU rRNA
Rfam family: Bacterial large subunit ribosomal RNA
Source: RNAcentral
CACGGUGGAUACCUUGGCGUCAGCAGCCGAUGAAGGACGCAAUAAACUGCGAAAUUCCACGGGGAGUCGUUAUAGACUAAGAUCCGUGGGUCUCCGAAUGGGGCAACCCCGCUGAGUAAUGUCAGCGACGCACAUCUGAAUACAUAGGGUGUGACGAGGUAAGCUCGGGAACUGAAACAUCUUAGUACCGAGAGGAAAAUAAAACAAAACAGUGAUUCCCUAAGUAGCGGCGAGUGAACGGGGAACAGCCCAAACCAGUAGGACGUAAGUCUUAUUGGGGUUGCGGGACUCUAUAAAGAAUUGAAGAAAGUUAGUUGAAGAGCUCUGGAAAGGGCUACCAAAGACGGUGACAGUCCGGUAGACGAAAACUUUCGACAUCUGGGAGUAUCCCAAGUAGUACGGGACACGAGAAAUCUUGUACGAAUCUGCCAGGACCAUCUGGUAAGGCUAAAUACU